UACGAAGGUGGCUAGCGUUGUUCGGAUUUAUUGGGCGUAAAGAGCGUGUAGGCGGCCGAGCAGGUCCGUUGUGAAAACUGAAGGCUCAACCUUCAGAGGUCGAUGGAAACCGUUCGGCUAGAGUCCGGAAGAGGAGAGUGGAAUUCCUGGUGUAGCGGUGAAAUGCGCAGAUAUCAGGAAGAACACCCGUGGCGAAAGCGGCUCUCUGGGACGGUACUGACGCUGAGACGCGAAAGCGUGGGGAGCGAACAGG
This 253-nucleotide ribosomal RNA is filed under the name uncultured bacterium. RNAcentral describes it as "partial 16S ribosomal RNA". It matches the Rfam family "Bacterial small subunit ribosomal RNA", at positions 524 to 776 of the family's 1533-position model. The record is from RNAcentral.